RNAcentral lists this ribosomal RNA (328 nucleotides) under uncultured eukaryote. RNAcentral's name for it is "partial 18S ribosomal RNA". It matches the Rfam family "Eukaryotic small subunit ribosomal RNA", at positions 1470 to 1796 of the family's 1831-position model. The record is from RNAcentral.
CCCUUAGAUGUCCGGGGCUGCACGCGCGCUACACUGAAGGAAUCAGCGUGCUAAAACCAUUGUCGAAAGGCAUUGGUAAACCCAUUAAAAUCCUACGUGAUUGGGAUCGGGAAUUGCAAUUAUUUCCCUUGAACGAGGAAUUCCCAGUAAGUGUGGGUCAUAAGCUCGCGUUGAUUACGUCCCUGCCCUUUGUACACACCGCCCGUCGCUGCCCGGGACUGAGCCGUUUCGAGAAAAGCGGGGACUGCUGCUGUCGGGGCUUUCUGGCCUUGGCUUCGGUGGAAACCGCUUUAAUCGCAGUGGCUUGAACCGGGCAAAAGUCGUAACA